CCCUUAGAUGUCCGGGGCCGCACGCGCGCUACACUGAAGGAAUCAGCGUGGCUUUCUCCCUGACCCGAAAGGGUUGGGAAACCCGUUGAAUCUCCUUCGUGAUAGGGAUUGGGGCUUGAAAUUGUUCCCCAUGAACGAGGAAUUCCCAGUAAGCGCGAGUCAUAAGCUCGCGUUGAUUACGUCCCUGCCCUUUGUACACACCGCCCGUCGCUACUACCGAUUGAACGGUUUAGUGAGGGCCUCGGAUUGGUCUCGGCCCGCGCUUUACCGGGCGGCGCCGUUGGUCGAGAAGACGCUCGAACUUGAUCGUUUAGAGGAAGUAAAAGUCGUAACA
Molecule: ribosomal RNA, 334 nt
Filed under: uncultured eukaryote
Lineage: Eukaryota
Description: partial 18S ribosomal RNA
Rfam family: Eukaryotic small subunit ribosomal RNA
Source: RNAcentral